Molecule: long non-coding RNA, 1580 nt
Organism: Apteryx rowi (Okarito brown kiwi)
Lineage: Eukaryota; Metazoa; Chordata; Aves; Apterygiformes; Apterygidae
Source: Ensembl
AAAGCUGUUAAUAUUGUCAACUCAUUGUUUUGUAUGAGUCAAGCAAGCUUUGGUAGGUGAAAAAUAAGAUGGUACCACUAAAGUAAAACCUUAAAUAACUGAUUCUCAGUCCAGGUUAGACACCUUCAAGCUAUCCCAGCACUUCAGAAAAGUGGGAGAGAUUUGGCUCUGCCCUGGGAAGAGAGGUUUUGUUCUGACAUACAACUGAUGCAGGGCUCUACAGGCCAGGCAGCUGGCGGUGUCAGAGGUGUGUCAAGAACAUGACAAAAACAUGCUGCACUGCAGAUUUUCUCUGCAUUGUAGGACCAUUUGGCUCUUCAGUAUUCCUCACAGUUCAGUUCUGCAUGCAGCUGAGCAGGUCAGCUCCAUAAAAUGAGGAGAAUUUGCUGGCUCUGCACUGCCUUCRGUGUUUUUAUUUCCAUCCUCAGAUGGAAAUAAAUGUUACAUGUGCUGACUGCUCAGCUCUAAGCUCAGUCCUGUGGCAAGGCAGUGGCAAGGUCUGAAAGCUGACCUGCUGCUUUCUAUAGAAAUGAACAAGWGGAUGUAGUUCAUCAGUCUUGUGGCAGUUCUCUGGAAACCUUGACCGGAUGUAUUUGUGAGCUGCAGAUUUUGGAAAAUGUGCCCCAUUCCAACUUUACAGAUACUAGAGAUCCAUUAGUAUCUUUUCUGUGAGGAAGAUGAAAGACAUCUUGCUUUUGGCCAUAUUACAGAUAGAUUCAAAUUCAGUUGGAGCUAUACUAUGAGAGCUUGUUUAGGGGCUACAUAAUAGUGGCUACAUGGGAGAUGCAGAAGAAGGUAUUCAGCCCCAAAGUGUUGCUUCCCACCCCUAUUUCAGCACAGAAAUACCUCUGCAGGGUAUGGUGGCAGGGAGCACGGGCUUUUGGCAUUUGGCUUUCUGCUCUCACUCCCAAAACUCUGCAACAGUUCUCCUGCACAGGAUGUCCACGCUGAGCAAGAGUAUCUGUAUGAAACUAAACAGUGUGCUCUCUUCUCUGCCUUUCAGUAUGAGCAGGAGGGAGACAAGCUCCACCGCAGUGCCAUUGCUUCUCCCCACCUCAGGAGUUCCUUUCCCUUCCGCUCUGACACUUCCUGAGGAUGCAGCAYUCAUGGGAGUGGUUGGCUUCAAGGGAAGUUAUGAUGGGGCAAAGGUGUUAGACCUGCUGUGGGGCUGAAAACAGGUACAGCAAAUAGAUGGCGUUACACAGGAGCUGUUCAAGAUAGUACUGGGAAAGAGCAAAGUCUUUGGAGGCCAAAAGAUGGAAUACAUUAUCAAAUCAAAGAAAGCUACAAGACUCUUGAGAACAAAAGCACCUAUAUAGUUCAUCUGUGAUUUAUAAAUGUGGCAAAAAUGAGUGGUCUUGGUUUUGCCAAUGUAUAAAACUGGACAAUCUCGGAGUCCUUCUGUGCACAUGAACAGACUUUAUACAGUCUGAAAGAAGAAAAUUACUUGUACUUUACUCUGCAUGAACACUGCCAGUUAAAUGCACUGAACAGAGGUAUGCGGGUGUGGGCACCAGGCCUCGGCUGGCCGCCAAGCAGCUCUGUAGGCAAAUAAAAUUGAUAAACCACAGAGAAUAACA